CACACAAGGUGUGUGCUACGAUCGAACAGGAGAAAGGAAAAAAGGGGGUGUGAACCCUAAACCUCAAGAAAUCAUCAAAUUGAAAAGGGAAUCAAGGGCUGAUUGUAUGCAUGAACCAAGGAUGAUGAUCCCUUAAGCAUUUCUAACAUCAACGUAGGAGCCAUGUCAACAUAGACACGAGCAUGGAAGGGCAAUGGGUCAACGGUAAAGACGGAAGCUAUGCAUGAACUCGGACGCACGAGGUAAGUGAUUUCCGUAAUCACUUCUUAUUUUGUUUAAGUAAGGUAGCGUUAGUUAAUUGAGCAUGGUGAUGAUUGAAGUUUGAUAUGGUUUUGGUUGUAUGAAAUCGGUAAUUUUAGCUAAGUAGACCGAACGGGACAAUAUAAAGUUGUAAUGAUAUGACAGAUUGAUGUAAUGCUACGGUAUUGUAACCGGGUAAUGGGUAGAAUUGCACAUAAGUGCGCCAACCGAGAAUGGGGACUUAGGUUAAUGGUCAAAAGACUUAGCUUUUGACCUUAAAUAAAAGAAUGGUUUAACAAAAUACGAACAGGUCGAAUAAAUGUGCAUAAACUUCAUAAUGCUAAUGAAAUGCGUAAAGAUUAAGGACCCGGGUAAGGGCGUUUAGCCCAUAAUGUAAGGACAAGUCUUACGGACAACUAGAAAUAAUUGUGAGCAAUUUGAUUGAGGAAUGUCUGAGAUACGCAAGUUUUAAUAAUAAAAAUAUGAAUGGGUUGAAUAGUCGAAACGAGUAUGUAGAGCCGAAGGCUUUAAGUUAAGAUUUUUCCUUGUUUGGAUGUUAUAUUACAAGCUCAUAUGUUAGAAAAUCGAUUUACCAACGCAUAGGAAAAAGAAUCAUGUUAAUCGGAUUCGUAGAUCAAAAGUUAUGCAAAUUGUAAGUCGAAAAUACCCUUGGAAUUCAUAGCUGGGAAUUUACAGCAGCAAAUUGGAAGUUUCUGUCGAAAUAGAGCUGUCGCGCCCCGCAAGCGCCAGUCAGCUGGCAAAUUUUGGUUUUCUUGUUUGAUUUUGCAUCCAGACUCGAUGUUUUAAUGAUUUUCGAUGUCCCUUUAACUUAUAUUAAAGCCGGUUUGAAUCACGAGUGAUGUUAUGAGCCUCCGGAUAAUGAAAGUAUGUAUUUUUCUUCGUGUUAGAGAAGAAAGAUUAUAAGUAAUCGAGACUAGAAAUGAGUGGGCAUGCAGUAUGGUAAGUAUAAAACUUAUAUCAUGGAAGUUGCGAUUAUGAUAAGAAAUGCGAGAUUAAGUGAAUAAAAGUAGUAAGCGAGGGCUCGCGUCUAUGUGUGUGUAUGUGAAUGUGUGCGUAUGUAUGUAGGUGUAUAUGUUGUAUGUAUGUAGGAAUUAGGAACGUAUACGUUUGUGGAUGCGAGAUGUUAUAAGUAUAUGAAGGAAUGGUACAUGAACACCGGGUUCAUGAAGUAUCGAAGUCGAAUUCGGAACAAGAAAAUACGAAAGGAUAGUUGAAUGAAUUAAAGUUCCUACUGUUAAAUUUUAUUCAAUAUUGGACUAUAUGAGAAUCAUGUCGUAUGAUAUUGUUAAUGACUAAUGGUUAUGAUGUAUGCGAUGUCCACAGGUAUUGCACGGAUUACCGCUACUACUACCGAAGAUAAGCAAGCGUUGAUCGAGUCACGGAGCAAGGGUUGUACGGAAAUAUGUAUUGUCUUGAAGCGUUAAUUUAAUGUGGUUAUUGUAAAUCCCUUUUGUAAAUGUUUAUCAUUUGUAUUUGAGCCUUCAAGUAAGUAAUGUGUCUAAAUAAGAAAGAAAUUUUUUGG
Molecule: long non-coding RNA, 1783 nt
Filed under: Helianthus annuus (common sunflower)
Lineage: Eukaryota; Viridiplantae; Streptophyta; Magnoliopsida; Asterales; Asteraceae
Description: hypothetical non coding rna
Source: RNAcentral